GAUGAACGCUGGCGGCGUGCCUAAUACAUGCAAGUCGAGCGAACAGACGAGGAGCUUGCUCCUCUGACGUUAGCGGCGGACGGGUGAGUAACACGUGGAUAACCUACCUAUAAGACUGGGAUAACUUCGGGAAACCGGAGCUAAUACCGGAUAAUAUAUUGAACCGCAUGGUUCAAUAGUGAAAGACGGUUUUGCUGUGACUUAUAGAUGGAUCCGCGCCGCAUUAGCUAGUUGGUAAGGUAACGGCUUACCAAGGCAACGAUGCGUAGCCGACCUGAGAGGGUGAACGGCCACACUGGAACUGAGACACGGUACAGACUCCUACGGGAGGCAGCAGUAGGGAAUCUACCGCAAUGGGCGAAAGCCUGACGGAGCAACGCCACGUGAGUGAUGAAGGUCUUCGGAUCGUAAAACUCUGUUAUGAGGGAAGAACAAAUGUGUAAGUAACUAUGCACGUCUUGACGGUACCUAAUCAGAAAGCCACGGCUAACUACGUG
This 497-nucleotide ribosomal RNA is filed under the name uncultured bacterium. RNAcentral describes it as "partial 16S ribosomal RNA". It matches the Rfam family "Bacterial small subunit ribosomal RNA", at positions 28 to 507 of the family's 1533-position model. The record is from RNAcentral.